UGGGGAAUAUUGCACAAUGGGCGAAAGCCUGAUGCAGCAACGCCGCGUGAGGGAAGACGGUUUUCGGAUUGUAAACCUCUGUUUUCGGUGACGAACAGAUGACGGUAACCGAGUAGGAAGCCACGGCUAACUACGUGCCAGCAGCCGCGGUAAUACGUAGGUGGCAAGCGUUAUCCGGAAUUACUGGGUGUAAAGGGUGCGCAGGCGGCGCGCCAAGUCAGCGGUCAAAGUUCCGGGCUCAACCCGGUGUCGCCGUUGAAACUGGCGUGCUCGAGUGCGUGCGAGGAAGGCGGAAUGCGUUGUGUAGCGGUGAAAUGCAUAGAUAUGACGCAGAACUCCGAUUGCGAAGGCAGCUUUCCAGCGCGCUACUGACGCUGAGGCACGAAAGCGUGGGGAUCGAACAGGAUUAGAUACCCUGGUAGU
Molecule: ribosomal RNA, 423 nt
Filed under: uncultured Oscillospiraceae bacterium
Lineage: Bacteria; Bacillati; Bacillota; Clostridia; Eubacteriales; Oscillospiraceae
Description: bacterial SSU rRNA
Rfam family: Bacterial small subunit ribosomal RNA
Source: RNAcentral